AUUGAACGCUGGCGGCAUGCUUUACACAUGCAAGUCGGACGGCAGCACAGAGAAGCUUGCUUCUUGGGUGGCGAGUGGCGAACGGGUGAGUAACAUAUCGGAACGUACCGAGCAGUGGGGGAUAACUAAUCGAAAGAUUAGCUAAUACCGCAUAUCUUCUGAGGAAGAAAGCAGGGGACCAUUUGGCCUUGCGCUGUUUGAGCGGCCGAUAUCUGAUUAGCUAGUUGGUGGGGUAAAGGCCUACCAAGGCGACGAUCAGUAGCGGGUCUGAGAGGAUGAUCCGCCACACUGGGACUGAGACACGGCCCAGACUCCUACGGGAGGCAGCAGUAGGGAAUUUUGGACAAUGGGCGCAAGCCUGAUCCAGCCAUGCCGCGUGUCUGAAGAAGGCCUUCGGGUUGUAAAGGACUUUUGUCAGGGAAGAAAAGGGCGGUGUUAAUACCCCUGUCUGAUGACGGUACCUGAAGAAUAAGCACCGGCUAACUACGUG
RNAcentral lists this ribosomal RNA (490 nucleotides) under uncultured bacterium. RNAcentral's name for it is "partial 16S ribosomal RNA". It matches the Rfam family "Bacterial small subunit ribosomal RNA", at positions 30 to 507 of the family's 1533-position model. The record is from RNAcentral.